UACGUAGGGUGCAAGCGUUAAUCGGAAUUACUGGGCGUAAAGCGUGCGCAGGCGGUUGUGUAAGACAGAUGUGAAAUCCCCGGGCUCAACCUGGGAACUGCGUUUGUGACUGCACAGCUGGAGUGCGGCAGAGGGGGAUGGAAUUCCGCGUGUAGCAGUGAAAUGCGUAGAUAUGCGGAGGAACACCGAUGGCGAAGGCAAUCCCCUGGGCCUGCACUGACGCUCAUGCACGAAAGCGUGGGGAGCAAACAGG
Molecule: ribosomal RNA, 253 nt
Filed under: uncultured bacterium
Lineage: Bacteria
Description: partial 16S ribosomal RNA
Rfam family: Bacterial small subunit ribosomal RNA
Source: RNAcentral